GACCACGUUGCUCAGUUGGUAAAGCAUUGGACUAGUAUCCCAAAGGUCGCGGGUUCGAUUCCCACCGUGGCCA
Molecule: transfer RNA, 73 nt
Filed under: Paramuricea clavata
Lineage: Eukaryota; Metazoa; Cnidaria; Anthozoa; Malacalcyonacea; Plexauridae
Rfam family: tRNA
About the family: Transfer RNA (tRNA) molecules are approximately 80 nucleotides in length. Their secondary structure includes four short double-helical elements and three loops (D, anti-codon, and T loops).
Source: Rfam by way of RNAcentral